RNA transcript from Juglans microcarpa x Juglans regia, 1459 nucleotides. It is a transcript of the gene named cell division protein FtsY homolog, chloroplastic, with no coding region annotated. NCBI's taxonomy places the organism in Eukaryota, Viridiplantae, Streptophyta, Magnoliopsida, Fagales, Juglandaceae. The record is from RefSeq and is a predicted model, not a curated record. The transcript has 12 exons.
CGUCCUUUUAAGGAGUUUUAUCUCAAUUCCCAGAUGGUGGCCCAACUGUGACGGCUUGAGUAGGAAAAAUGGCUGCUUCUACUGCUCAUCUCUCCCUCCUCUCCAAAUCGUCACCCUCCUCACCUUCAUUGCCGCACGUCCUCUUCACUCUGCCCAAAACUAGCUCCGUUCCGGCCAAUUCCCGGUUCAGAUGCUCGGCUGGACAGACGGGGUUCUUCACCCGGCUCGGUCGCUUGCUUAAGGAGAAGGCCAAGAGUGACGUCGACAAGAUCUUCUCGGGCUUCUCGAAAACCCGCGACAACCUCGCUGUCAUUGACGAGCUCCUCCUCUACUGGAACCUUGCCGAUACCGAUAAAGUCCUCGACGAACUCGAAGAGGCUCUACUGGUGUCUGAUUUCGGACCAAGGAUCACCAUUAAGAUUGUGGAGAGCUUGCGUGAGGAUAUAUUGGCAGGGAAACUCAAGUCAGGGAAUGAGAUUAAGGAUGCAUUGAAGAAAAGUGUGUUGGAGUUUUUAACUAAAAGCGCUAAUAAAACCGAGCUUCAACUUGGUUACAGGAAGCCAUCUGUGAUUAUGAUUGUCGGCGUUAAUGGAGGAGGCAAGACAACAUCACUCGGAAAACUGGCCUAUAGACUGAAAAAGGAAGGGACCAAGAUAUUGAUGGCAGCAGGGGAUACUUUUAGAGCAGCUGCUAGUGAUCAGCUGGAGAUAUGGGCUGAGAGGACUGGAUGUGAGAUAGUUGUGGCUGAAGGAGACAAGGCCAAAGCAUCAUCAGUUCUUUCACAAGCUGUGAAAAGAGGGAAAGAACAAGGUUUUGAUGUAGUAUUAUGUGACACGUCUGGACGUCUCCACACUAACUACAGCCUGAUGGAAGAGUUGAUUGCAUGUAAAAAAGCUGUGGGCAAAGUUGUUUCAGGUGCACCAAAUGAGAUCCUGCUAGUUUUGGAUGGGACUACUGGUUUGAAUAUGCUACCACAAGCACGAGAGUUCAAUGAAGUCGUUGGAAUUACUGGUUUGGUUUUGACAAAACUUGAUGGUUCUGCCAGAGGUGGCUGUGUGGUACGCUUUAUACUCAUCUGAACGGUCAGUGUGGUAGAUGAACUUGGCAUCCCUGUAAAGUUCGUUGGUGUUGGAGAAGGUGUUGAAGAUCUUCAACCGUUUGAUGCUGAGGCCUUUGUUGAUGCCAUAUUUUCAUAAAGCCUAAAAGGGUUUCUUGUCUUGCAAUUCAGAAAAGUCCUCGGCAUAAUAGCUGUAGCCAGAAGAGAUUAACCUUGAGGUCAGUUUCUGAGAGUUCAAGAAUACUUUCUCAUACAAACGUGAGAAGAAGUGAGUUUUGGCUGCGGAGAAGUGGCCCUUGUCAAGACCGUACACAAUUCUUUCCUGCUGAUUAUGGUUGCAAUGACGAAAAUUUAAUGUGCGAGAUUUCAUCUCUAAUGAUCACUAAUUUUAAUUCUCCUUUU